ACACCUCAACUCUUCAUGGUUUUCCGUGAUGAGCUUGGACUUUGGGGGUUUUGCUGGCCUAUGGUCGGCUCCUCUGAAAUGAAUCAGCUUGCCAGUGUUUGGUGGGCAUCACAGGUGUGAUAACUAUCUACGCUUGUGGUUUUCCACCAGGUAACCUUCAGCAGUGGAGGUUCACUGGAGCUCACAGAUGUCUCUCCUCAGUGAGGACGACCCAUUGAAU
RNAcentral lists this unclassified non-coding RNA (220 nucleotides) under uncultured Tomentella. Its description in RNAcentral is "sequence contains ITS2". Lineage: Eukaryota; Fungi; Basidiomycota; Agaricomycetes; Thelephorales; Thelephoraceae. The record is from RNAcentral.